UGUUGGUGCUUUGUCGGAGGGGGUACACCCGUUCUCAUUCCGAACACGGCAGUUAAGCCCUCCAGAAGCGAUGGUAGUCGUAAGGCGAGAGUAGCUCGGCGCCAACAC
This 108-nucleotide ribosomal RNA is filed under the name bacterium. The record is from RNAcentral.